CAUCUUUAAUUUGCCUCAAAUAUCAACUAUAUAAGUAGUGCUGCCCAUCUGGACAGCUAUGGUGAUAAACGGAUAUCGCAAUAAACCUAUCGGACCCCGGGGCAGUACCGGGCACCUCCACCACAUAUGCUUUGCUCACCCUGAAAAGAGCAAAUCUGAUGGGGGUGAAACAGGAUCGACGAGGGCGUAAAGGAUUGACUUUUACCCGGCAUGGUACCGCCGUUAUCGGGCUAAAUUUUAGUUGCAAAUGACAACUAUGCUCCGGAAGCAGUUGCAGCGUAAGCUGUAAAUACUUUCGAAAAUUAAGCCUUAUGCCCUAGCAGGCAUAAGCGGGGUUCGCGGGCACCUGGCAACAGAAGCCCGUUUU
Molecule: transfer-messenger RNA, 367 nt
Filed under: Hyphomicrobiales bacterium
Lineage: Bacteria; Pseudomonadati; Pseudomonadota; Alphaproteobacteria; Hyphomicrobiales
Rfam family: Alphaproteobacteria transfer-messenger RNA
About the family: Bacterial tmRNA, also known as 10Sa RNA or SsrA, is named for its dual tRNA and mRNA-like properties. Its role is to liberate the mRNA from a stalled ribosome.
Source: RNAcentral